GGCAGCCAGAGUGGCCACCACUGCUCUCUGCAGCAGAAGACCCCUUGCUGCCCAGCAUUUGCCAGAUGUUAAACAACAUUGGAGACAAUAUGGAGUCAUGAGACACACCAUAUGGAAGUUCAGCUUUUGUAGAGCAACUGUCUCAAAGGGACACCAUCUGGAAUAUGCCCAAGAGCUGUUACAAACUGUUUACACCUGUUUUGUUGUGUCCCAAACAAAACUGACACCCAAGGAAGCGAUCAGCAGGAUUCUUCCAAUCCAAAGCAGUUAAUGAACUCUCUUGUCUUACCGUUUUUCUGUUUAUGACAUUCCUCAGACUUCUCUCUUCCUGCUUUCCAAGGGUCUAUUUGCCUCUUUAUGGAAACUCUCAAUUCCCUUAACAAACUAAUUGUUAUAAUUAAAGCCAACUGUUUCUAUGUAAAUUUAAUUAA
Long non-coding RNA from Hemicordylus capensis (graceful crag lizard), 431 nucleotides. RefSeq lists it as uncharacterized. The transcript has 3 exons. NCBI's taxonomy places the organism in Eukaryota, Metazoa, Chordata, Lepidosauria, Squamata, Cordylidae. The record is from RefSeq and is a predicted model, not a curated record.